Molecule: ribosomal RNA, 254 nt
Filed under: uncultured bacterium
Lineage: Bacteria
Description: partial 16S ribosomal RNA
Rfam family: Bacterial small subunit ribosomal RNA
Source: RNAcentral
UACGUAGGGGGCUAGCGUUGUCCGGAAUCAUUGGGCGUAAAGCGCGUGUAGGCGGCCCGGUAAGUCCGCUGUGAAAGUCGGGGGCUCAACCCUCGAAUGCCGGUGGAUACUGUCGGGCUCGAGUACGGAAGAGGCGAGUGGAAUUCCUGGUGUAGCGGUGAAAUGCGCAGAUAUCAGGAGGAACACCGAUUGCGAAGGCAGCUCGCUGGGACGUUACUGACGCUGGAGACGCGAAAGCGUGGGGAGCAAACAGG